Molecule: ribosomal RNA, 468 nt
Filed under: uncultured bacterium
Lineage: Bacteria
Description: partial 16S ribosomal RNA
Rfam family: Bacterial small subunit ribosomal RNA
Source: RNAcentral
GACGAACGCUGGCGGCGUGCUUAACACAUGCAAGUCGAACGGAAAGGCCCUGCUCUUGUGGGGUGCUCGAGUGGCGAACGGGUGAGUAACACGUGAGUAACCUGCCCUUGACUUUGGGAUAACUUCAGGAAACUGGGGCUAAUACCGGAUAGGAGCUCCUGCUGCAUGGUGGGGGUUGGAAAGUUUCGGCGGUUGGGGAUGGACUGGAGGCUUAUCAGCUUGUUGGUGGGGUAGUGGCUUACCAAGGCUUUGACGGGUAGCCGGCCUGAGAGGGUGACCGGCCACAUUGGGACUGAGAUACGGACCAGACUCGUACGGGAGGCAGCAGUGGGGAAUAUUGCACAAUGGGCGGAAGCCUGAUGCAGCAACGCCGCGUGCGGGAUAACGGCCUUCGGGUUGUAAACCGCUUUCGCCUGUGACGAAGCGUGAGUGACGGUAAUGGGUAAAGAAGCACCGGCUAACUACGUG